RNAcentral lists this ribosomal RNA (253 nucleotides) under uncultured bacterium. Its description in RNAcentral is "partial 16S ribosomal RNA". It matches the Rfam family "Bacterial small subunit ribosomal RNA", at positions 524 to 776 of the family's 1533-position model. The record is from RNAcentral.
UACAGAGGGUGCAAGCGUUGUUCGGAAUUACUGGGCGUAAAGCGCGUGUAGGCGGUUUCUUAAGUCCUGUGUGAAAGCCCUGGGCUCAACCCAGGAAGUGCGCAGGAUACUGGGUAACUGGAGUGGCGGAGAGGAUGGCGGAAUUCCCGGUGUAGAGGUGAAAUUCGUAGAUAUCGGGAGGAACACCUGUGGCGAAGGCGGCCAUCUGGACGUCAACUGACGCUGAGACGCGAAAGCGUGGGUAGCAAACAGG